AUGAACGCUGGCGGCGUGCCUAAUACAUGCAAGUCGAGCGAACGGACGAGAAGCUUGCUUCUCUGAUGUUAGCGGCGGACGGGUGAGUAACACGUGGAUAACCUACCUAUAAGACUGGGAUAACUUCGGGAAACCGGAGCUAAUACCGGAUGAUAUUUUGAACCGCAUGGUUCAAAAGUGAAAGACGGUCUUGCUGUCACUUAUAGAUGGAUCCGCGCUGCAUUAGCUAGUUGGUAAGGUAACGGCUUACCAAGGCAACGAUGCAUAGCCGACCUGAGAGGGUGAUCGGCCACACUGGAACUGAGACACGGUCCAGACUCCUACGGGAGGCAGCAGUAGGGAUUCUUCCGCAAUGGGCGAAAGCCUGACGGAGCAACGCCGCGUGAGUGAUGAAGGUCUUCGGAUCGUAAAACUCUGUUAUUAGGGAAGAACAUAUGUGUAAGUAACUGUGCACAUCUUGACGGUACCUAAUCAGAAAGCCACGGCUAACUACGUG
This 496-nucleotide ribosomal RNA is filed under the name uncultured bacterium. Its description in RNAcentral is "partial 16S ribosomal RNA". It matches the Rfam family "Bacterial small subunit ribosomal RNA", at positions 29 to 507 of the family's 1533-position model. The record is from RNAcentral.